RNAcentral lists this long non-coding RNA (841 nucleotides) under Homo sapiens (human). RNAcentral describes it as "HSALNT0362822". The record is from RNAcentral. Lineage: Eukaryota; Metazoa; Chordata; Mammalia; Primates; Hominidae.
AUUGCCAUUCUGAGCAAGUGCAGCAGGCAGUGUGCCUACAGCUCUGCAAAGAAACUUCAGAUAGCAGAUUCUGUCAACCACAUUUCAUAAAGAGUUCUGAUUCUAAGAGGACUUAUGGAGCAAGGAUGACUGACACAAACACAAAAAUCAUUCUGCCUGUUGAAUGAAUCAUAAAAUACUGUCUUUGAUCCAGGAGGCUUGUGUCAUCUGCCAGCAUUUAUGAAACUGUGCUCCAAGUAGGAAUCUGGAGAAAAAAAGCUAUGAAGAGCAAGAGGUGGUAGAGAAUGGUGUUGUUGAAAUUGCCUGACAUCACUGGAGAUAAUUUGCCCUGGAAAGAAGCACUCCUUAGGGAGGAGCAUCUGCACAUUCCAUUAGCAUAAAGCACCUGGUCAGCCAUAUGAAGAAGUCUGGAUUUUGUUUUAAAUGUGAAAUUUAUUUUAAAUGGAGGAUUUGAAACAAGGGAGUAAUAUAACCUGACAUAUUUUAAAAAAUCACUCUGGCAGCUGCGUGGGGGACAAACUCUGGGAGGACAAGAGGAGAUGUGGAAGGGAGAAGGCGGCUAAGAGUCUGUCCCAGGAUUGCAAAGAUUUCGGAGCCCGGCCUCAGGUGGUAAUGGUGGAGGUGUUAGAAAUGGCUGGAUUCCACAUAUAUUUUGAAAGGCCAGCACAUGGAAUUUGCUUAUGGAUGUUCCAUAAAUAAGAGAAAAAGAGGGCUCAGUGAUGAUUCCUGGGCUUUUGACUUAAGCAACUAGAAGGAUAAAGUCUCCAUUAACUGAUAUGGGGAAGACUGAGGAAGGAGACGCUGUGUAUGCCAGGAUUGGGCUGUGUGUGUGUGUGUAUGU